GAGAUGAGUGAUGGGUGUUGUCAUGUGGCGACAAACAUUACUGUGUGGACAAUUUUAGCUGUUUGGCUUCGGAAAGUAGUGCUCAGGAUUGUUUGCUUACAAAAGAUCUAGCCUGUGACCAAAUAACUCCAGCUUGCUAUGGGAGACUGGGAGAUGAUGCCACUGAAUCCUGUGAAGGCAAGAUACAAGUUGGCACCUUAUCUGCUGGCAAGGCAAGGAAGAUAGGAACAAAGGAGUUUCUGCUGAGAUCCCAGAGCCAGAAGCUGUCACUACAAGGAGAGCUGACUCAACCACUUUGGAUUUGAGUUGUCACUCCAAAAAAGAACUGACUCAACAAUUUUGGACUUAUUUAUAAGUUUGUACUACCACUGAAAGGUGGCCAUCAUUGCCAUGGUCACCAUCAUCAUCAACAGAACAACAAUGCCUGACGACCCACCACUACUGAAGAUCAAUGACUGAACUAUGAACCAUGCUGGAUCCAUGGUGUGCAGUCUUUCCAGAAUGUCUUCUGAAAUAGUACAUCUGACUCUUACAGGUGGUUUGAUGCAGUUAUCAACACGCUCUUGAACACUGAAAUCUAUUUUGUAACUACUGUUGAAAUACUAUUUAACCACACCCAGAAAAAAAAGGUGACCUCUGGAAAAUGUGCCUUGGGAAAUGAAGGUCUUAAACUGACUUUCAUGGUAAAAAUGGAGAUCAGAAGUUCCCAAGCAUUUCCAGGAUACCAGUGCAUAUGUUUUUAUUGUGACUGGUAUACAUGAUGAAAAGAACACUCUUUACCCAUCACCUUUGAUGUGAGCUUUAACAAGGAGGGUGACUUCCAAGUCUGUGUAUGGAUUCUACUUCAAGUACUCAGAACAGAGCCUGAAAUUUGUCCCUCCCUCUGGCCCACGUUCUAUGGAAUAUCUUUUUCAAUGUCUUGUUCACUGUCUUUAGGGGUUGCUUUCCAAUUGCAGUCUUUGAUUUUUGUAUUUUUGACACUCUUAUUUUAUUAAUUUAAUUUUGGAGGUCUAGAUUUUGUCAAGAGGAACAAGAUAGUAAAAUUAGAUGAUUCAGCGCCGUGCUAUUUAAAUUCAUCUUAGGUGUGGAUUUAAGAUCUGUCUCAAAUAUUAAGGGUUUCCAUAAAAAUGAAUUCUUCGGGAAUAUUCAGAACUGGGGGGAAAAAAAAGAAAAAAACAAAGGAAAUGUAUAUGCAGCCCAGAUUUCUCUACCUCACUCAGCAACAGAAAUCAGAGCAAACUAUUACAGUGUAAGCAAAGUAUUUAGUUCAAAAUGGACCUAGAAAUUUGAAGUUAAGUAAAAGCGAAUUGCAUAUUUCAGGCUUCUGUACUUUAAGAGAUUAGUUACAGGUGUUUUCAUGUAAUUACUUCAUUCCUCUUUAAUAUUUUAUGAUGUAAGUGACCUUGAGAAAUACAUCUUUUUUUUAAUGUAACAAUAGUACAUAUUUUAAAGAUGCUGCAAAAAUUUUAUUUCCCAUCUGUUUAUUUCUAUACUUUUGGACUGAGAAGCAAAGCUGCUGAGCAUGAUGAAUACUCACACAGACCAGAAAUGCAGUGACCAGGACUGUCCACAGUACUCAAGAUAUGUGUGGAGGAGCCUACUUAGCAUCCCUUGAUGCCUGCUGAAAAGGAUAAUUGUGGAAAAUGCAGCUUUAUUAUGAAGCUUUUAAUACAGGCCAUUCUGAGGAUGUAGACGUGUGGUUUGGGUUUCAGAGAUGACUGUCCACAGAGCUCCCCUCUACCUUUUCUCAGACCGUGAUGUUGCACAGUCAGGUAGCAGAUAAGCAGAAGAAGCAGCAGCAAAGAGCUCCUUCAGCAACUCACAUGUAAAAAAGCUGCCAUAAAAAUGGGGCUAUCAAGCUUACCAGUAUUUUAUUUAGGACAUCUGUAUGGGAACUGCUGAGUCA
Molecule: long non-coding RNA, 1906 nt
Organism: Centrocercus urophasianus (Greater sage-grouse)
Lineage: Eukaryota; Metazoa; Chordata; Aves; Galliformes; Phasianidae
Exons: 8
Source: RefSeq, a predicted model, not a curated record